Molecule: transfer RNA, 73 nt
Filed under: Phakopsora pachyrhizi
Lineage: Eukaryota; Fungi; Basidiomycota; Pucciniomycetes; Pucciniales; Phakopsoraceae
Description: tRNA-OTHER
Rfam family: tRNA
About the family: Transfer RNA (tRNA) molecules are approximately 80 nucleotides in length. Their secondary structure includes four short double-helical elements and three loops (D, anti-codon, and T loops).
Source: RNAcentral
GCGCACUUAGCUCAAAUUGUAAGAGCAUCACUCUUCAAGGUUGAGGUUGUGGGUUUGAUUCCCACAGUGCACA